GCAUGUGUGGCGGAAUGGUAGACGCAGAGGACUCAAAAUCCUCCGUUAGUGAUAAUGUAUGGGUUCAAGUCCCUUCACAUGCACCA
Molecule: transfer RNA, 86 nt
Filed under: Bacilli bacterium
Lineage: Bacteria; Bacillati; Bacillota; Bacilli
Description: tRNA-Leu
Rfam family: tRNA
About the family: Transfer RNA (tRNA) molecules are approximately 80 nucleotides in length. Their secondary structure includes four short double-helical elements and three loops (D, anti-codon, and T loops). Further hydrogen bonds mediate the characteristic L-shaped molecular structure. tRNAs have two regions of fundamental functional importance: the anti-codon, which is responsible for specific mRNA codon recognition, and the 3' end, to which the tRNAs corresponding amino acid is attached (by aminoacyl-tRNA synthetases). tRNAs cope with the degeneracy of the genetic code in two manners: having more than one tRNA (with a specific anti-codon) for a particular amino acid; and 'wobble' base-pairing, i.e. permitting non-standard base-pairing at the 3rd anti-codon position.
Source: RNAcentral